GUGAGGAAUUUUCCGCAAUGGGCGAAAGCCUGACGGAGCAAUGCCGCGUGAAGGAUGAAGGCCUAUGGGUUGUAAACUUCUUUUCUUAGAGAAGAAUAUUGACGGUAUCUGAGGAAUAAGCAUCGGCUAACUCUGUGCCAGCAGCCGCGGUAAGACAGAGGAUGCAAGCGUUAUCCGGAAUGAUUGGGCGUAAAGCGUCUGUAGGUGGCUUCAAAAGUCUCCUGUCAAAUAUCAGGGCUUAACCCUGGGCCGGCAGGAGCAACUCGGAGGCUAGAGUGUGGUAGGUGCAGAGAGAAUUCCCGGUGGAGCGGUGAAAUGCGUAGAGAUCGGGAGGAACACCAAAGGCGAAAGCACUCUGCUGGGCCACAACUGACACUGAGAGACGAAAGCGAGGGGAGCAAAAGGGAUUAGAUACCCGGGUAGUCC
RNAcentral lists this ribosomal RNA (426 nucleotides) under uncultured bacterium. RNAcentral's name for it is "partial 16S ribosomal RNA". It matches the Rfam family "Bacterial small subunit ribosomal RNA", at positions 354 to 796 of the family's 1533-position model. The record is from RNAcentral.